This 492-nucleotide ribosomal RNA is filed under the name uncultured bacterium. RNAcentral's name for it is "partial 16S ribosomal RNA". It matches the Rfam family "Bacterial small subunit ribosomal RNA", at positions 29 to 507 of the family's 1533-position model. The record is from RNAcentral.
AGUGAACGCUGGCGGUAGGCCUAACACAUGCAAGUCGAACGGCAGCACAGUAAGAGCUUGCUCUUACGGGUGGCGAGUGGCGGGCGGGUGAGGAAUACAUCUGAAUCUACUUUUUCGUGGGGGAUAACGUAGGGAAACUUACGCUACUACCGCAUACGACCUACGGGUGAAAGCAGGGGAUCUUCGGACCUUGCGCGAUUGAAUGAGCCGAUGUCGGAUUAGCUAGUUGGCGGGGUAAAGGCCCACCAAGGCGACGAUCCGUAGCUGGUCUGAGAGGAUGAUCAGCCACACUGGAACUGAGACACGGUCCAGACUCCUACGGGAGGCAGCAGUGGGGAAUAUUGGACAAUGGGCGCAAGCCUGAUCCAGCCAUACCGCGUGGGUGAAGAAGGCCUUCGGGUUGUAAAGCCCUUUUGUUGGGAAAGAAAAGCAGCAGGUUAAUACCCCGCUGUUCUGACGGUACCCAAAGAAUAAGCACCGGCUAACUUCGUG